CCUACGGGUGGCAGCAGUGGGGGAUAUUGGACAAUGGGGGGAACCCUGAUCCAGCCAUGCCGCGUGUGUGAAGAAGGCCCUCGGGUUGUAAAGCACUUUCAGUGAGGAAGAACGCCUGGUGGUUAAUACCCAUCAGGAAAGACAUCACUCACAGAAGAAGCACCGGCUAACUCCGUGCCAGCAGCCGCGGUAAUACGGAGGGUGCGAGCGUUAAUCGGAAUUACUGGGCGUAAAGCGCGCGUAGGUGGCUUGAUAAGCCGGUUGUGAAAGCCCCGGGCUCAACCUGGGAACGGCAUCCGGAACUGUCAAGCUAGAGUGCAGGAGAGGAAGGUAGAAUUCCCGGUGUAGCGGUGAAAUGCGUAGAGAUCGGGAGGAAUACCAGUGGCGAAGGCGGCCUUCUGGACUGACACUGACACUGAGGUGCGAAAGCGUGGGUAGCAAACAGGAUUAGAUACCCCAGUAGUC
This 465-nucleotide ribosomal RNA is filed under the name Vreelandella stevensii. Its description in RNAcentral is "partial 16S ribosomal RNA". It matches the Rfam family "Bacterial small subunit ribosomal RNA", at positions 338 to 795 of the family's 1533-position model. Lineage: Bacteria; Pseudomonadati; Pseudomonadota; Gammaproteobacteria; Oceanospirillales; Halomonadaceae. The record is from RNAcentral.